RNAcentral lists this transfer RNA (74 nucleotides) under Flavobacterium sp. RNAcentral's name for it is "tRNA-Cys". It matches the Rfam family "tRNA". From Rfam's summary of the family: Transfer RNA (tRNA) molecules are approximately 80 nucleotides in length. Their secondary structure includes four short double-helical elements and three loops (D, anti-codon, and T loops). The record is from RNAcentral. Lineage: Bacteria; Pseudomonadati; Bacteroidota; Flavobacteriia; Flavobacteriales; Flavobacteriaceae. RNAcentral also lists the same sequence under 1 other name.
GGCGUCGUGGCCGAGUGGCUAGGCUGGGCUCUGCAAAAGCUCCUACUCCGGUUCGAAUCCGGACGAUGCCUCCA